RNAcentral lists this ribosomal RNA (433 nucleotides) under uncultured bacterium. RNAcentral's name for it is "partial 16S ribosomal RNA". It matches the Rfam family "Bacterial small subunit ribosomal RNA", at positions 29 to 507 of the family's 1533-position model. The record is from RNAcentral.
AACGAACGCUGGCGGCAUGCCUAACACAUGCAAGUCGAACGAAGCCUUCGGGCUUAGUGGCGCACGGGUGCGUAACGCGUGGGAAUCUGCCCCUUGCUUCGGAAUAACAGUUAGAAAUGACUGCUAAUACCGGAUGAAUUCUUCGGACCAAAGAUUUAUCGGCAAGGGAUGAGCCCGCGUAGGAUUAGGUAGUUGGUGGGGUAAAGGCCUACCAAGCCGACGAUCCUUAGCUGGUCUGAGAGGAUGAUCAGCCACACUGGGACUGAGACACGGCCCAGACUCCUACGGGAGGCAGCAGUGGGGAAUAUUGGAAAAUGGACGCAAGUCUGAUCCAGCAAUGCCGCGUGAGUGAUGAAGGCCUUAGGGUUGUAAAGCUCUUUUAACAGGGAUGAUAAUGACAGUACCUGGAGAAUAAGCUCCGGCUAACUCCGUG